UACAGAGACGUCGAGCGUUGUUCGGAUUCAUUGGGCGUAAAGGGUGCGUAGGCGGUGAGGUAAGUCGGAUGUGAAAUCCCAAAGCUUAACUUUGGAAGUGCAUCCGAAACUACCUUGCUCGAGGACUGGAAGGGAGACUGGAAUUCUCGGUGUAGCGGUGAAAUGCGUAGAUAUCGAGAGGAACACCGGUGGCGAAGGCGGGUCUCUGGACAGUUCCUGACGCUGAGGCACGAAAGCCAGGGGAGCAAACGGG
Molecule: ribosomal RNA, 253 nt
Filed under: Deltaproteobacteria bacterium
Lineage: Bacteria; Pseudomonadati; Myxococcota; Myxococcia
Also listed under: 1 other name
Description: partial 16S ribosomal RNA
Rfam family: Bacterial small subunit ribosomal RNA
Source: RNAcentral